AAAUCAAAAAGCUUAUCCAUCUUCUUCAUUUCCAUUCUAGUCCUUCAAAAUUGGCGAAAGCAUCAGAGAAGAAAUCAGUUGAGAAGAAAGGAGGAAGUGAUAAGAAGAAAAAGAGGUCAAAGAAAAGAGUUAAAAUGUACAAGAUCUAUAUAUUUAAGGUUCUAAAACAAAUUCAUCAUGAUAUUUGUGUUUCAAGUAAAGCAACGGGAAUAAUGAACAGUUUCAUCAAUGAUAUUUUCGAGAAACUUGCUUAG
Molecule: non-coding RNA, 254 nt
Organism: Vicia faba (fava bean)
Lineage: Eukaryota; Viridiplantae; Streptophyta; Magnoliopsida; Fabales; Fabaceae
Source: the annotation of a GenBank genome assembly